CCCACGCCCACAGUUGCCAGCGUACUCUCUGGAGUGACGGGUACACUGUCGGGGACCGCCGCUGCUAAAGCGGAGGAAGGAAUGGGCAACGGUAGGUCAGCAUGCCCCGAAUUAUCCCGGGCUACACGCGGGCUACAAUGGUCAGGACAAUGGGCAUCAACACCGAAAGGUGAAGGCAAUCUCUUAAACCUGUCCUUAGUUCGGAUUGUGGGCUGCAACUCGCCCACAUGAAGCUGGAAUCUGUAGUAAUCGCGUCUCAAAAUGGCGCGGUGAAUAUGUCCCUGCUCCUU
This 290-nucleotide ribosomal RNA is filed under the name uncultured Methanolinea sp. RNAcentral describes it as "partial 16S ribosomal RNA". It matches the Rfam family "Archaeal small subunit ribosomal RNA", at positions 1051 to 1338 of the family's 1478-position model. The record is from RNAcentral. Lineage: Archaea; Methanobacteriati; Methanobacteriota; Methanomicrobia; Methanomicrobiales; Methanoregulaceae.